CCCGGGCCGCCCAGCAGCCCCGAGGCUUCCAGAAAGCCUGUCCCAUCCCAAACCACUGCUCCUUCCCUGGAAGGGAGAGCUCUGGUCCAGAUCUCCAAACAAAGCACGUGUGCUUUCCUUCUACGACUCAGUGGUGCCAGGAAAAGCAAAAAAUGCAGACACUAAACAACAGCUUUACAGUGAUUUUUGGAUCGAGGAAAUGAAAGACUCAGCAAGCUGGAGGCGAAGAGAGUUUCAACAUUGGCAUCUGUGAACGGCAGCAAUAAAUCUGAGAUUCUGGCAGUGAUGUCAUUUGCUGAAGACACACUCCUGGAAUCUCUGAGGGGUUGGUCCACUCUCCAGAUCUGCAUGCCAGACUGCACCUACUCUUUGCUGUCCUCCGCAGCGGGGCACUUACUCUGAAAGCGGAGUCCUGAGAGG
Bubalus bubalis (water buffalo) is the source of this 420-nucleotide long non-coding RNA. RefSeq lists it as uncharacterized. The record is from RefSeq and is a predicted model, not a curated record. NCBI's taxonomy places the organism in Eukaryota, Metazoa, Chordata, Mammalia, Artiodactyla, Bovidae. The transcript is spliced from 3 exons.